Molecule: ribosomal RNA, 497 nt
Filed under: uncultured bacterium
Lineage: Bacteria
Description: partial 16S ribosomal RNA
Rfam family: Bacterial small subunit ribosomal RNA
Source: RNAcentral
GACGAACGCUGGCGGCGUGCCUAAUACAUGCAAGUUGAGCGCUGAAGGUUGGUACUUGUACCAACUGGAUGAGCAGCGAACGGGUGAGUAACGCGUGGGGAAUCUGCCUUUGAGCGGGGGACGACAUUUGGAAACGAAUGCUAAUACCGCAUAAAAACUUUAAACACAAGUUUUAAGUUUGAAAGAUGCAAUUGCAUCACUCAAAGAUGAUCCCGCGUUGUAUUAGCUAGUUGGUGAGGUAAAGGCUCACCAAGGUGAUGAUACAUAGCCGACCUGAGAGGGUGAUCGGCCACAUUGGGACUGAGACACGGCACAAACUCCUACGGGAGGCAGCAGUAGGGAAUCUUCGGCAAUGGACGAAAGUCUGACCGAGCAACGCCGCGUGAGUGAAGAAGGUUUUCGGAUCGUAAAACUCUGUUGGUAGAGAAGAACGUUGGUGAGAGUGGAAAGCUCAUCAAGUGACGGUAACUACCCAGAAAGGGACGGCUAACUACGUG